GAUGAAGAACGUAGCGAAAUGCGAUAAGUAGUGUGAAUUGCAGAAUUCAGUGAAUCAUCGAAUCUUUGAACGCUCAUUGCGCCCCUUGGUAUCCCGAGGGGCAUGCCUGUUCGAGCGUCAUUUCACCACUCAAGCCUGGCUUGGUGUUGGGCGACGUCCUCUUUGGGGACGCGCCUCGAAACGCUCGGCGGCGUGGCACCGGCUUUAAGCGUAGCAGAAUCUUUCGCUUUGGAAGUCGGGGCCCCGUCUGCCGGAAGACCUGCUCGCAAGGUUGACCUCGGAUCAGGCAGGGAUACCCGCUGAACUUAAGCAUAUCAAUAAGCGGAGGA
RNAcentral lists this unclassified non-coding RNA (329 nucleotides) under soil metagenome. Its description in RNAcentral is "partial contains 5.8S ribosomal RNA, internal transcribed spacer 2, and large subunit ribosomal RNA". The stretch from base 1 to 120 matches the Rfam family "5.8S ribosomal RNA", at positions 35 to 154 of the family's 154-position model. The record is from RNAcentral.